Molecule: long non-coding RNA, 1481 nt
Organism: Seriola aureovittata
Lineage: Eukaryota; Metazoa; Chordata; Actinopteri; Carangiformes; Carangidae
Exons: 3
Source: RefSeq, a predicted model, not a curated record
GCAGUGGAGCAGUAAAAAGAAAGGUGAAAACUUAUUUUUCAAAAGUCGGCUAUUGGGCUUGCUAGCAUUAACAUUAGCAAACAUCCUGGAGAGGACGAUGCUAACAUUAGCUCAGCUGCGCAUCAGCAUGAAACAGAGGCAGAGAGCCACAGCUCUGCCACAGACACCUCUUCACCUGCCGCCCCUUCACGUCCACUUGAGUGUGGAGUUGGAAGUUGUCAGAGACCUGGACUUAAAUGAUGUGGUGGAGGGAUUUUCAAGGAGUAAUUGACAGAAAGAAGACCUUCACAGGAGGUUGGUUACCAUGCAGUGCUGAGGCAGCUGCCAGCGUACCCUAGCAACAAAUACCGUAAACCCUCAAGGGCCGCGAGCGCCGACGGGAGAGUGACUCACAGUCCAUGUAUCCCAGCAUGCUUUGCCACUGUUGCCCUUCACCCCCUGACCCACCAUAAUGGCAGCAUAGAGAGAUGAAAAGAGCCAUGUGACAUGAGCGGACACAGUCGCUCCGGCCUCAUGCUGCUCGCUGCCUUUUCAGACACAGCUCACAUGGAGAGAGCGAAGACACGGGGCAGCUUGGGCAACAAGAGUCAACACAAUCAGCCAGAACAGAAGUCGUGUUCUUUUCUUUUCAUCCCUACAAAAGGGGGUUUGUGCAUGUUGAUAACAUACCUGCGCUUUUUUUUUUUUUUUUUUUUUUUUUUUUUUUAAAGAUGCUCUGUAAUGUAUUACUUUUUAAUGCCUGUUUUCAUUUUCCACUUCAGUGGUGCAGAAUAUUGCAGCUUUGUUUUUGCUCUCAGAAAUAACUCAUCAGAACAGAUUCCUGGAGAGGUUUAGUGACCAGAAGGAGCCAAAUGAGAAAAGCAAAAACACCAAUCUGUUGCGGUGCACACUUUCACCUUUAUUGUCCAACAGUCUCAGCACAUACAACGUUUACCCAGUAACAUUUACUGUGUGAAAAAGCACCAUCUGUGCUCGGAGCCAGCAAACCGCCGUACCUCAGUCAUCAUUCCUACAGUCCCUCUGCACUGUGACGGUAAUGGGACUUUAAAUCAGUGCCUUGCACCCUCAGGGUUCAUUACAAGGUGACAGCCCAUUGUUGCUGCUCUGUGACGACAACAAGUGGCAGUGGAAGGGGUGAGGGGGGGUCUGGAGAAAGUGAGGCAGAUGGUACGGAGAGAUGACAAUGGUGCCAUUUCACAGCGUAUCCUCCACCUGUGGUGUGACGGAGGCUGCUGUCGGGGGCUUUUGAUGCCUGCUGAGAUGAAUGCAAUGGAUGAACAUAUCUCUUACUGACAGCCUCCAUAUCAUUGCUGAUUGAGAUGUCUAGACAUCCACAACGGAGGGCUUUGAAAAUAAAACUUUGAGAGGAAUUGCUCAGCUCUGUGAAAUAUAGAAAACAUUUGUGUGAAAGUUGUAGAAAGAGUUCUUUGAAAUAUUAAAAUGACUGUGGGGAUGGCGUACAGAAAUGAAAGUUGGAAAAG